CCUACGGGAGGCAGCAGUGGGGGAUAUUGCACAAUGGGGGAAACCCUGAUGCAGCGACGCCGCGUGUGGGAAGACGGUCCUCUGGAUUGUAAACCACUGUCCCCAGGGACGAAGAUGACGGUACCUGGGGAGGAAGCUCCGGCUAACUACGUGCCAGCAGCCGCGGUAAUACGCAGGGAGCGAGCGUUGUCCGGAUUGACGGGGUGAAAGGGGAGCGUAGGCGGGGAUGCAAGUUGGGUGUCAAAACUAGCGGCUAAACUGGUAAUCGCACUCAAAACUGCAGCUCUUGAGUGAAGUAGAGGCAGGUGGAAUUCCUAGUGUAGCGGUGAAAUGCGUAGAUAUGAGGAGGAACACCAGUGGCGAAGGCGGCCUGCUGGGCUUUUACUGACGCUGAGGCUCGAAAGUGUGGGGAGCAAACAGGAUUAGAUACCCCUGUAGUC
Molecule: ribosomal RNA, 440 nt
Filed under: uncultured bacterium
Lineage: Bacteria
Description: partial 16S ribosomal RNA
Rfam family: Bacterial small subunit ribosomal RNA
Source: RNAcentral